CUUCAUUCCCUUCAUCUUCCUCAUCAUUCCUCAAGCAUUCAUCAAUAUCAUUAGCAUCAAGAGGAUUAUUAGUAUCACUACUAGUACCAACACCAAUAUUAUGAACAUUAGUGCUACUACUAGUACCAACACCAAUAUCAUCAAUUUGAAUAUCCAAAUCAUCUUCAAUACCAUGACUCUCCAUUACAAUAUUAUUAGGAAUUUCUUCUUCAUCACUUU
RNAcentral lists this long non-coding RNA (219 nucleotides) under Populus tremula. RNAcentral describes it as "long non-coding RNA (PTRE_LNC000097)". The record is from RNAcentral. Lineage: Eukaryota; Viridiplantae; Streptophyta; Magnoliopsida; Malpighiales; Salicaceae.